This 222-nucleotide ribosomal RNA is filed under the name uncultured bacterium. Its description in RNAcentral is "partial 16S ribosomal RNA". It matches the Rfam family "Bacterial small subunit ribosomal RNA", at positions 329 to 539 of the family's 1533-position model. The record is from RNAcentral.
ACGCUCACACCUACUGGAGGCAGCAGUAGGGAAUUUUCGGCAAUGGGGGGAACCCUGACCGAGCAACGCCGCGUGAAGGAAGAAGGAAUUCGUUCUGUAAACUUCUGUUAUAAAGGAAGAACGGCGGAUAUAGGGAAUGAUAUCCGAGUGACGGUACUUUAUGAGAAAGCCACGGCUAACUACGUGCCGGCAGCCGCGGUAAUCUGAGCGGGCUGGCAAGGC